UGGUGGAGUGAUUUGUCUGGUUAAUUCCGUUAACGAACGAGACCCCUGCCUGCUAAAUAGCUUGUGUAGUGAUUUUUCACUGUGUGAAGCUUCUUAGAGGGACGUGCAUUUUUCAAAUGCAGGAAGAUAGGGGCAAUAACA
Molecule: ribosomal RNA, 141 nt
Filed under: uncultured eukaryote
Lineage: Eukaryota
Description: partial 18S ribosomal RNA
Rfam family: Eukaryotic small subunit ribosomal RNA
Source: RNAcentral